GCUUCCAUGCUAAUGAACUUUCCUCAUAAUACACUGGAAGUCAAGUUGACCUUUGCAGGAGCCUCUGCUAGAAUACAAGGGAAGCCCUUCAGCACCCCCUUCAUCCAAAGCCAGAGAUCUCUCCUCAAUAUAUUGGACAUCCUUUAGUUCUUUCCAUGAGUGGAACUGAAUGUUUAUCUCCUACUGAAAUUUUAUGUACAUAAGGUCUGAAGAAGCUCCAUAAACCUGAGAGCAAAGUAGCACCUUAAAUUCCAGCCUUCCAAGGUCCUGACAAUAAUGUGCCAAUGUCAGCAGGAAGUAAUUACAGAAGCCAAUACAUUGCCAUUGUUCCACCUUCCCCCUUGGAAUGUUAC
Molecule: long non-coding RNA, 353 nt
Organism: Peromyscus eremicus (cactus mouse)
Lineage: Eukaryota; Metazoa; Chordata; Mammalia; Rodentia; Cricetidae
Exons: 3
Source: RefSeq, a predicted model, not a curated record